AAAGGUGAUUACGUAUUAUCAGAUUUAGUUAUGGCGUGUUAUUUAGAUAUAUGAAUGAAUGCUAUUAAAUAUUUACUAAAAAAAGGAAGCAACUCUUGUCUGAAAACUAGGCUUGCCAAAGGUUACCUUCUCGGACUGCAUGGAUUUCGUACCUGCCCGGUGAUUAAUUAUAAAAGCCCGUUAGCUAUUUGUCGUUAAUGAUGAUUUUUUUCUUUCUUUUUUGCUUUCGCUUUUAAACACAUAUGUGUAAUGUAUUUUUUGGCGGAUUCUGAUCUGGGGAUAAAUUAGUAUACUGUUUGCCUUCGUUUAUCCUGACUGAGCACUGCGAUCGAUGUCAUUUAUUUUAAAAUGAAGAAAUUGCGAAUUCGUCGAUUGGACUACAUUUAUGUUGAACGGACUGGAGAAUGUGGAAGAUGAGUCGCGAGGGAAUUGGUUUGUCUUGGUUUUAUUGAAGCAUUUGUAACAGGGUUGCUAAAAGUGAAACGCAAUGCACGUCUAACAAAUAUACUUUUCUCUAAAUAGAGCAAAAUUUCAAUGCUUUUAUGUGACCAUGCUGUUGUAUUUGCAGAAUGUACAAACAAUACAUUAAUAAAAGAGUAAUCAACUACAGGUAUAUGUCUACUGAGUUAUAUUUUUGUAAUCCGCCUAUAUUAUCUAUUGUUACUCGUCGCACGGGUUCUCUCAGCGAGAUUAUUUUUGUUAAUGGAGCCCAGAUUACAUUUUUUCUUGCUAAGUGCUGUAAUUUAAUUUGCAAAAAAUUAAUAAUUAAAGGGCGCGUUUCGUUCAUUUUUAAUUUAACUAGGCAUCGAUCUACUGGCUUAUUCAUAACUAAUAGCUUCCUGUAAUCUCAUAUAGGGCAAAAUCACUGCGUAUUGAAACAUAGUACUGGACAUUCCUGUCGUUUCUUUAAUUGUUUUAAUUUGCAGCAAUAUUUAGCUUUUUUCGUUAUUCUCCCACAUACACACGCACAGUUUGACAAACCACGGUGUUCCUUUUUGAUCGUUGUCAAAGGCCACAGAUGACCUGUACGUGUUGCGUUGUCAUUUUGCUUUUUCCCUAGGCAAAUGUGGUAGUUUACAUACACCUGUAAUAAAAUCCAGCUUGUUUAUGAGUACAGCAUGUAAGUAUGAAAUAUUUUUAGUUUAUGGAAAAUAAUCGUAGUGUUUAAAAUACGAUUUUUUUUGUAUAAAUAGUUGCAAUUUUUAAGUCCCUUUGAAUGGAACAAACCUUCGUAGUGCAAUAAUUAUUAAAUUGUAGAAUAGCGCCGCCUACUGGAUGACAUGUGUAAGUCAUACUGAUGUUAUCGCGUCGACAGACUGCGGUUUUAUACGAUUGUGGGUAGAGUUAAACUGGGUAGAGUUAAACGGGUAAUUCAAUACUACGCCGCUCGUUAACUUCAACGUGUUUGCCAUGUCAAACUAAACAAGGCAACACAUAAUGAAACUUCCAGGUUUUAGUGGGGGGCCUUUGACCAUGUUAGCGUACCGCUAUAUGUGAGAACAGCACCAAUGACAGCUUUCAGUGACCAGCUGGAACUGGGCAGAAAUGGACAUUCUCCAAAUCAACAAUCAUCUCUUUUUAAUGCAGAUCAAGAGACAGAUUUUUAUUGCACCACAGUGUAAGGUGCUCCGCCAUUGUGGAUGCUGACUCAUCACAGGUAAGGAGAUCCACCGCUGUGUAAGGUGCUCCUCCAUUGUGGAUGCUGACUCAUCACCGGUGAGGAGAUCCACCGCUGUGUAAGGUGCUCCUCCAUUGUGGAUGCUGACUCAUCACAGGUGAGGAGAUCCACCGCUGUGUAAGGUGCUCCUCCAUUGUGGAUGCUGACUCAUCACAGGUGAGGAGAUCCACAGCUGUUGUGGCAUCAGCGAAUCUGAUGAUGCUUUUUGAGCCAUACUUUUUAGAGCAGGUGUUGGCCAGCAGGGUUUAGGGACUGAGCACAUCGCCUUGGGGGGAAAUGCUCAAGAUGAUAUUUCCAAUGCGGUCUGAGGUUCCUCGGUCAGGCAGGCCAAGAUCAGAUAGCAAAGGGAGGUAUUUGGGGGAUGGUGGAGUUCAAUGCUGAAGUCAAAUAAAUGAACAUCAAUCUAACAGAGGCAUCCAUUUUAAAUAAUGGCAUUUUAUUAUUAGAGAGUAUUUCAGUUAUCAUGUAAUUUUUAAGUAUAUACAUUUCAUUGCAAAUUGGACUGCAUAUUCAAAUUGUGAAAUUUCUCCCUUAAUGACAUAAACAUUAGGGCAUAAAGUUCAUACUCCUGAUUUGUGCCUAAGACUGUCCCAGCUAAUCAGAAAAAAGAGAGAUGAAUCCCAUAUAUUAUAUAACUUACCAGACGAAUGAUCAGACAUUAAAUGGAAGUCAUACAAUAGAAUCUGGCCCUGCUCCUCAAAAAUAAUGACACUGUUUUUUCAUUUAUGAUGACAUCUGUAGAGAAUCUGAAUUGGCCCCUGAUUGUACAGGUUUAACUGCCCUUGACCUGCUUAAUUGUGCUUUUUUCUUACAUUUACAUAUUGCUCCAUGCAUGCAACAGAACAAAGACAAGUCAUACAUAGAUAUGUACCAGAUUUGACCAAUGAUUGAAGCUCAAAGGUGAAGUCGACACACAGAAUGACAUGGUGUGUUGUGCUUAUAUUGUUUUGCUAUCAAUUUCUCGUGUAAGAGUCAGCCUUGGCAACCAAUGACCCUCUGGAGAACGUCCUGCUUGGGGAGGCUGCACGACACGUUCCAGGUGCCCAUAUCUGCCAUGGCCUGCCUGUCGUUUCUCUCACACAGUUUAAUCCAAAAAUGAUAAAUCCAGGCUGCUUCGAGGGCAUAUGUGGUGGACCAGCAAGGAACCACUGAGGUACCCUGAGCAAGGGUCACAUUGCUGUCCAGUUAUUUGGCUGUGAAUGAACCAAGAAGUUUAUCAACCCGAGGAGGAGACGCAUUUCCUUCCUUUAGGUCACACAAUGUGUAGGAAAGACAAUAAGCCUUUGAAUCUUAACAUUACACAGUGGAAAAUGUGUGUGAAAUUGGACAUAUGUGGAACAAUUGAAACUGUCUUUACAACAAUUUAAUACUAACAGAUUUAAAUUGAAAUAAAAUGCAACAAGAUACGUCAUUGAA
Paramormyrops kingsleyae is the source of this 3094-nucleotide long non-coding RNA. RefSeq lists it as uncharacterized. The record is from RefSeq and is a predicted model, not a curated record. NCBI's taxonomy places the organism in Eukaryota, Metazoa, Chordata, Actinopteri, Osteoglossiformes, Mormyridae.